RNAcentral lists this ribosomal RNA (403 nucleotides) under bacterium. RNAcentral's name for it is "partial 16S ribosomal RNA". It matches the Rfam family "Bacterial small subunit ribosomal RNA", at positions 355 to 776 of the family's 1533-position model. The record is from RNAcentral.
UGGGGAAUAUUGCACAAUGGGGGAAACCCUGAUGCAGCGACGCCGCGUGAACGAAGAAGGUAUUCGUAUCGUAAAGUUCUGUCCUAUGGGAAGAUAAUGACAGUACCAUAGUAGAAAGCUCCGGCUAAAUACGUGCCAGCAGCCGCGGUAAUACGUAUGGAGCGAGCGUUGUCCGGAAUUAUUGGGCGUAAAGGGUACGCAGGCGGUUUAAUAAGUCGAAUGUUAAAGAUCGGGGCUCAACCCCGUAAAGCAUUGGAAACUGAUAAACUUGAGUAGUGGAGAGGAGAGUGGAAUUCCUAGUGUAGUGGUGAAAUACGUAGAUAUUAGGAGGAAUACCAGUAGCGAAGGCGACUUUCUGGACACAAACUGACGCUGAGGUACGAAAGCGUGGGGAGCAAACAGG